GACGAACGCUGGCGGCGUGCUUAACGCAUGCAAGUCGAACGGAAAGGCCCUGCUUUUGUGGGGUGCUCGAGUGGCGAACGGGUGAGUAACACGUGAGUAACCUGCCCUUGACUUUGGGAUAACUUCAGGAAACUGGGGCUAAUACCGGAUAGGAGCUCCUGCUGCAUGGUGGGGGUUGGAAAGUUUCGGCGGUUGGGGAUGGACUCGCGGCUUAUCAGCUUGUUGGUGGGGUAGCGGCUUACCAAGGCUUUGACGGGUAGCCGGCCUGAGAGGGUGACCGGCCACAUUGGGACUGAGAUACGGCCCAGACUCCUACGGGAGGCAGCAGUGGGGAAUAUUGCACAAUGGGCGGAAGCCUGAUGCAGCAACGCCGCGUGCGGGAUGACGGCCUUCGGGUUGUAAACCGCUUUCGCCUGUGACGAAGCGUGAGUGACGGUAAUGGGUAAAGAAGCACCGGCUAACUACGUG
This 468-nucleotide ribosomal RNA is filed under the name uncultured bacterium. Its description in RNAcentral is "partial 16S ribosomal RNA". It matches the Rfam family "Bacterial small subunit ribosomal RNA", at positions 28 to 507 of the family's 1533-position model. The record is from RNAcentral.